This 991-nucleotide ribosomal RNA is filed under the name Leuconostoc mesenteroides. RNAcentral describes it as "bacterial SSU rRNA". It matches the Rfam family "Bacterial small subunit ribosomal RNA", at positions 269 to 1248 of the family's 1533-position model. Lineage: Bacteria; Bacillati; Bacillota; Bacilli; Lactobacillales; Lactobacillaceae. The record is from RNAcentral.
CAAGACAAUGGAUGGCAUAGGCCGAGUUGAGAGACUGAUCGGCCACAUUGGGACUGAGACACGGCCCAAACUCCUACGGGAGGCUGCAGUAGGGAAUCUUCCACAAUGGGCGAAAGCCUGAUGGAGCAACGCCGCGUGUGUGAUGAAGGCUUUCGGGUCGUAAAGCACUGUUGUAUUGGGAAGAACAGCUAGAAUAGGAAAUGAUUUUAGUUUGACGGUACCAUACCAGAAAGGGACGGCUAAAUACGUGCCAGCAGCCGCGGUAAUACGUAUGUCCCGAGCGUUAUCCGGAUUUAUUGGGCGUAAAGCGAGCGCAGACGGUUUAUUAAGUCUGAUGUGAAAGCCCGGAGCUCAACUCCGGAAUGGCAUUGGAAACUGGUUAACUUGAGUGCAGUAGAGGUAAGUGGAACUCCAUGUGUAGCGGUGGAAUGCGUAGAUAUAUGGAAGAACACCAGUGGCGAAGGCGGCUUACUGGACUGCAACUGACGUUGAGGCUCGAAAGUGUGGGUAGCAAACAGGAUUAGAUACCCUGGUAGUCCACACCGUAAACGAUGAACACUAGGUGUUAGGAGGUUUCCGCCUCUUAGUGCCGAAGCUAACGCAUUAAGUGUUCCGCCUGGGGAGUACGACCGCAAGGUUGAAACUCAAAGGAAUUGACGGGGACCCGCACAAGCGGUGGAGCAUGUGGUUUAAUUCGAAGCAACGCGAAGAACCUUACCAGGUCUUGACAUCCUUUGAAGCUUUUAGAGAUAGAAGUGUUCUCUUCGGAGACAAAGUGACAGGUGGUGCAUGGUCGUCGUCAGCUCGUGUCGUGAGAUGUUGGGUUAAGUCCCGCAACGAGCGCAACCCUUAUUGUUAGUUGCCAGCAUUCAGAUGGGCACUCUAGCGAGACUGCCGGUGACAAACCGGAGGAAGGCGGGGACGACGUCAGAUCAUCAUGCCCCUUAUGACCUGGGCUACACACGUGCUACAAUGGCGUAUACACACCGAG